UAUUCUGUCCCACGGGGAAGGAUGAGAAGCUUCGAAUAAGGUUCGACUCGAGCGAAGCGAGAGAACGUUGCCGCAGGCAACGGCCCGAAGGGCGAAG
Molecule: small RNA, 97 nt
Filed under: Klebsiella pneumoniae
Lineage: Bacteria; Pseudomonadati; Pseudomonadota; Gammaproteobacteria; Enterobacterales; Enterobacteriaceae
Description: partial RtT sRNA
Rfam family: RtT RNA
About the family: This family represents a bacterial cis-regulatory element known as RtT RNA. The exact function of RtT is unknown although it is thought that it may be involved in changing the cellular response in relation to amino acid starvation.
Source: RNAcentral